This 411-nucleotide long non-coding RNA is filed under the name Hordeum vulgare. RNAcentral describes it as "long non-coding RNA (HVUL_LNC003138)". The record is from RNAcentral. Lineage: Eukaryota; Viridiplantae; Streptophyta; Magnoliopsida; Poales; Poaceae.
CGGGCUUUCUACCAAGAGAGGAGCCUCUCCGUCGGCACCGGCCCCCAUUGCUGAUCAUGAGAAGCAUUCAUGCCAACAGUGGACGCACCGUCAUGCAAGAGAAGAGAAUCAGUUCUUUGAGAGGAGGAGAUCGUGUGGCAUAUUGGGGAGGAGAUCACGCGUGGUGGAAGAAGGUCGUCCAUGCUUUAGUUGCCGUUUGAUGUAAAUCUCGGAGAGAUCGUGCAUUGUGAUCUAUGCAACCAUAGUCAUCGAUUUUUAUGAUUAAUAACUCAACAAGGACAGUUCAUUUCUUUUUCAAUAUAAGGAGAGUUUUUUUUAACAUGCAAGCACUUAUAUAAACAUGCAUAUACUCACCCUUAUGAACGCAGACACGUACAUCUUACCUCUAUGAGCCCCUGCAAGAGACUGAAC